Molecule: ribosomal RNA, 611 nt
Filed under: uncultured bacterium
Lineage: Bacteria
Description: bacterial SSU rRNA
Rfam family: Bacterial small subunit ribosomal RNA
Source: RNAcentral
GGGGUAAUGGCCCACCAAGGCAACGACGGGUAGCUGGUCUGAGAGGAUGGUCAGCCACACUGGGACUGAGACACGGCCCAGACUCCUACGGGAGGCAGCAGUGGGGAAUCUUGCGCAAUGGGCGAAAGCCUGACGCAGCAACGCCGCGUGCGGGAAGAAGGCUUUCGGGCUGUAAACCGCUUUCAGCAGGAACGAAAAUGACGGUACCUGCAGAAGAAGGAGCGGCCAACUAUGUGCCAGCAGCCGCGGUGAUACAUAGGCUUCAAGCGUUGUCCGGAUUUAUUGGGCGUAAAGAGUUCGUAGGCGGUCGAGUAAGUCGGGUGUGAAAAUUCUGGGCUCAACCCAGAGACGCCACCCGAUACUGCUUAACUUGAGUUCGAUAGGGGAGUGGGGAAUUCCUAGUGUAGCGGUGAAAUGCGCAGAUAUUAGGAGGAACACCGGUGGCGAAGGCGCCACUCUGGAUCGACACUGACGCUGAGGAACGAAAGCAUGGGUAGCAAACAGGAUUAGAUACCCUGGUAGUCCAUGCGGUAAACGGUGGGCACUAGGUGUGGGUUUCUAUUAACGAAAUCCGCGCCGUCGCUAACGCAUUAAGUGCCCCGCCUGGGGAG